This 554-nucleotide ribosomal RNA is filed under the name uncultured bacterium. RNAcentral's name for it is "partial 16S ribosomal RNA". It matches the Rfam family "Bacterial small subunit ribosomal RNA", at positions 355 to 895 of the family's 1533-position model. The record is from RNAcentral.
UGGGGAAUAUUGCACAAUGGGCGCAAGCCUGAUGCAGCCAUGCCGCGUGUGUGAAGAAGGCCUUCGGGUUGUAAAGCACUUUCAGCGAGGAGGAAGGUGGUGAGCUUAAUACGCUCAUCAAUUGACGUUACUCGCAGAAGAAGCACCGGCUAACUCCGUGCCAGCAGCCGCGGUAAUACGGAGGGUGCAAGCGUUAAUCGGAAUUACUGGGCGUAAAGCGCACGCAGGCGGUUUGUUAAGUCAGAUGUGAAAUCCCCGGGCUCAACCUGGGAACUGCAUUUGAAACUGGCAAGCUAGAGUCUCGUAGAGGGGGGUAGAAUUCCAGGUGUAGCGGUGAAAUGCGUAGAGAUCUGGAGGAAUACCGGUGGCGAAGGCGGCCCCCCUGGACGAAGACUGACGCUCAGGUGCGAAAAGCGUGGGGCAGCAAACAGGAUUAGAUACCCUGGUAGUCCAGCGCUGUAAAACGAUGUCGAUUUGGAGGUUGUGCCCUUGAGGCGUGGCUUCCGGAGCUAACGCGUUAAAUCGACCGCCUGGGGGAGUACGGCCGCAAGGUU